Long non-coding RNA from Sapajus apella (tufted capuchin), 576 nucleotides. RefSeq lists it as uncharacterized. The transcript has 3 exons. NCBI's taxonomy places the organism in Eukaryota, Metazoa, Chordata, Mammalia, Primates, Cebidae. The record is from RefSeq and is a predicted model, not a curated record.
CACCUGGGCUCCGAGGACAGACCCAGGUUGUGGGGAUACCGGCUGCCUGCAGGGGGCGAGAUGUUCCUUUGGUGCUGCUGGGCUGUGACUAAAGAGCAGAAACAAAGAUAGAAGCUGAGAUCAACGGAAAGGAAUGAGACUGAACAAACAUAUAUAUUAAUCCUGACGGGACACAUACUAAAAUAACAUUCACAAACACGGCAGUAAGAAAGGAUGAACUAUGAAAAGAAUGUGCAGAUAAAUGAAUGAAACUUCGGAGGACAAAAAUAUGAUUUCAGGAGGACAGGCUGUGCCUUGGCCAUCCGCCCAUCUUAUAUUGGCCUUAGACACAAAUCAUGGAGUAGAGAGCAACUGUCUGGAGGGGGGUCUUCAGUCACCCCACCCAGGGGGAGACAUGUCCCACUGUCCCAUUGCAGUGGCCUCAGGAAUAGGAGAUCAAGACCCACCUGUUGUGAUGAAUAAAUCCAGGCUCUCAGCAACACAGGGAGAAGCAGCUUACAACACCACGGCAACCAGGUAACUGCACAGACCAAGGUAAGAAACAUCGCAGGUUGAGGCACCCCCACACUGCCCCAG